Molecule: long non-coding RNA, 676 nt
Filed under: Ananas comosus (pineapple)
Lineage: Eukaryota; Viridiplantae; Streptophyta; Magnoliopsida; Poales; Bromeliaceae
Description: long non-coding RNA (ACOM_LNC003197)
Source: RNAcentral
ACUACAACAAAACUAUGUUUUAGCGGCGAUUAUUUUUUAAAUUAGCGGCAAUUACAAUUGCCGCUAAAAUGUUUUAUGACAAUUUUAACAAUUGCCGCUAUUGGCAGCGCUAAAAGUUUUAGCGGCAUUUAUUCCGGCGGUUGGUAAAAAUUCAAAUAAAUGCCGCUAAAUAUUAUACGAUAACGACUAUUAUAAAUGCUACUAAAUAGUAUGCAAUAACAACUAUUAUAAAUGCCGCUAAAUAAUAUACAAUAACAACUAUUAUAAAUGCCGCUACAAUUAAUUAUAAUUGCUGCAAAAAACAUACUAAAUGAUUGAUUAAUAAAGCUUAUAGCGGCAAUUAAAUUAAUAUUAAAAUACUUGAUUAACAACUAAAUACUACAAUGAAUUGAAAUAUUAAAAAAUAUUAGUAACCAAAAAGCAUUAAUAAUUUGUAUAACAAAUAGUCUCAACUCUCAAAUUACAAUCUCAGAAUUUAAAUUAAAUUUCAAACAUAAAUUCUAACAAAAAAUACUUCUUCAAAAUGUAGCAAAAAAAAAAAACAAACACCGCAUGUCUUGCUUCCCACUUCAAUUUCCGCAGCUCCGACUGAUCUGGAUCAACCAAAAAGAAGUCAUAAAAUUAGUAUCUGAAAUUACCAAAUAAAAAUCAUCAUAUCAAAUUUUUGAAAAGUAUA